Molecule: transfer RNA, 58 nt
Filed under: Mus musculus (house mouse)
Lineage: Eukaryota; Metazoa; Chordata; Mammalia; Rodentia; Muridae
Source: Rfam by way of RNAcentral
UGGCUCAGCAGGUAAGAGCACUGACUGAUCUUCCAGAGGACCUGGGUUCGAUUCCCAG